This 490-nucleotide ribosomal RNA is filed under the name uncultured bacterium. RNAcentral describes it as "partial 16S ribosomal RNA". It matches the Rfam family "Bacterial small subunit ribosomal RNA", at positions 29 to 506 of the family's 1533-position model. The record is from RNAcentral.
AGUGAACGCUGGCGGUAGGCCUAACACAUGCAAGUCGAACGGCAGCACAGUAAGAGCUUGCUCUUACGGGUGGCGAGUGGCGGACGGGUGAGGAAUACAUCGGAAUCUAUUUUUUCGUGGGGAUAACGUAGGGAAACUUACGCUAAUACCGCAUACGACCUACGGGUGAAAGCAGGGGAUCUUCGGACCUUGCGCGAUUGAAUGAGCCGAUGUCGGAUUAGCUAGUUGGCGGGGUAAAGGCCCACCAAGGCGACGAUCCGUAGCUGGUCUGAGAGGAUGAUCAGCCACACUGGAACUGAGACACGGUCCAGACUCCUACGGGAGGCAGCAGUGGGGAAUAUUGGACAAUGGGCGCAAGCCUGAUCCAGCCAUACCGCGUGGGUGAAGAAGGCCUUCGGGUUGUAAAGCCCUUUUGUUGGGAAAGAAAAGCAGCAGGUUAAUACCCCGCUGUUCUGACGGUACCCAAAGAAUAAACACCGGCUAACUUCGU